UGGAUGCACAGGGCUACAUAGCUUCCAUUUUUAAAACCCGGGAAGCAGAAGCGGAGAUCGGGCCACCCUGAAGUUCCGUGCGGAAGGGAACAGAUCGGCUUGAUGGAACACCUUUCGGACCUCAGAGCUGCGAGUGUAUCCGCCACACUGAAAUGGAUGUAAUGUGCCAAUUACCCUGAUGCUGAUUAACCGCGAGGGAAAACGAUGGUCAGGUUUCAGCAACUGUCUUCUCCCCAUCUCUCUGGAUCUCCUGAAGAUAUCCAUGCCAGCCUUGAAUUCCUGAGCUCAAGCAAUCCCCCUGCCUCAGCCUGUGGUGCAUCUAGGACACAGAUCAUUCGAGCUGCUGACUUCAGACCCUGCUUGUGAACAUCCAAGUGGCCAAUGGGAUUUUACCUUGCCUCUUCCAGUGUCUUCAGGAGGUAGGGCUGGCAGGGGUGGCUUGGAGCAGACAUGGUCAUCAGCAAGCUGUCUUCUCUCAAGGGAGCAGUCCACAAUGUAGCAUGUGGGGGCCUCUGUCCUUGUGUAGACCAGUCCAAACCACAUAACAGAAAUAGAGUCUCAGCAUUUUGAGACUUUAUGGCGCACCUGACAUUGUCAUGGUAUCCAAGCAUGAUUGGUCGGCUUUUAUCUUGACUGUCUUUUUUUAAAUAUACCAUUUUCUAGUAAUUAAUUUUUAUUAUAUUUUACAAAACUAUCAAUCCAUAACAGGUUAGACAUUUUUUUUAACAUUUGGCUUUAGGGUCUUUUUGAGAGUGUUGCUAUAUAUAGCCCAGGCUAGCCUCAAACUAGCAAUCCUUCUCCCUCAGGAUCUUGUGUGUAUGAAUCAUAGGUAUACAACACCACAGGUGUCUUAGACAUCUAUUUUAAAUGGGGGAGGAUGUCCCAGAAACUUCAGGAAGUUCUGAGAGCAUGGCUGUUAUGAGAUUCUGUCAUUUGGGACUAAGGUAGCAGUCGCAGUGUUGAAAUCAGAGCUCCUGUGGUGACUAACAUGAGAUUGUCACAAGACGGAGGCCACAGCAUCCUCUUCUGGAAGUUCCACAUCUCACAUCCUCCUGCCUCUCACUGAGGGCACAGCUUCUUCAGCCCUGCAUUGGCUCCUCUUUGAGUGAGGCCCCAUGUUCAGUCCCCAGUGCAGUCCCAAUCCUCUGUCCUGUAUUAUUAUGCAGGGCUCCUGAGUGUGCACUGCAUUGUGCACAUGUGUGCAUGUGCAAGUAGAAGCCAGAGGUUGACACAAAUGACUUCUUCAACCACAUCCCACUUCUUCCUUGAGGCAGGGCCUCUGGCUGAACCCAGAACUUGCAGACUGGUGGAGUCUAAGUAAUCAGCUGGCCUUGGGGAUUCCCCAUCUCUGCUUCCCACAAGCUGAGCUUACAGUCAGGGGCCGUGCCUGCCCAUGAUGUACAUGUGUGCUGGGAAUCUGAACACUGGUUCACCUGCUUGCACUGCAAGCCCCUCACCUACUGAGCCCUUGCUCCAUCCCUUGCCUCACCCAGUAUAUUUGAAGUUAUCCAACUCUAAUGUCUUCAAAACUU
Molecule: long non-coding RNA, 1532 nt
Organism: Mus musculus (house mouse)
Lineage: Eukaryota; Metazoa; Chordata; Mammalia; Rodentia; Muridae
Product: predicted gene, 38729
Exons: 4
Source: RefSeq, a predicted model, not a curated record